This 85-nucleotide small nucleolar RNA is filed under the name Cairina moschata (Muscovy duck). RNAcentral's name for it is "domestica (muscovy Duck (domestic type)) Small nucleolar RNA SNORD87 (ENSCMMG00000005574.1)". It matches the Rfam family "Small nucleolar RNA SNORD87". Rfam says of the family: U87 (HBII-276) is a member of the C/D class of snoRNA which contain the C (UGAUGA) and D (CUGA) box motifs. Most of the members of the box C/D family function in directing site-specific 2'-O-methylation of substrate RNAs. Lineage: Eukaryota; Metazoa; Chordata; Aves; Anseriformes; Anatidae. The record is from RNAcentral.
ACUGGCAUAAUGAUGAAAUAAUGAUUUGCCGUUUACCCAUCUGACUGGUUAUUGAUGUGUAUCUUUUUGAAUCUGAAAUGCCAGU